This 297-nucleotide unclassified non-coding RNA is filed under the name Venturia sp. (in: ascomycete fungi). RNAcentral's name for it is "partial contains 5.8S ribosomal RNA, internal transcribed spacer 2, and large subunit ribosomal RNA". The stretch from base 1 to 52 matches the Rfam family "5.8S ribosomal RNA", at positions 103 to 154 of the family's 154-position model. Lineage: Eukaryota; Fungi; Ascomycota; Dothideomycetes; Venturiales; Venturiaceae. The record is from RNAcentral.
AACGCACCUUGCGCCCCUUGGUAUUCCGAGGGGCAUGCCUGUUUGAGUGUCAUUAAAUUCUCAACCUUGAAAGGCUUUUGAAGUCCUUCGAGGCUUGGAUGUGGAGGCUGCGGGCCCUUGUUGGUCGGCUCCUCUUAAAUGCAUUAGCUGGGUUUGCGCCUUCAGCCUACUGGUGUGAUAAUUAUCUACGCCUCUGGGACGUUAGCGUGUUUACUUCUCCAGCUUCUAAUCGUCCGCAAGGACAAUACUUUUGACCACUUUGACCUCAAAUCAGGUAGGACUACCCGCUGAACUUAA